This is a long non-coding RNA of Gallus gallus (chicken), 6443 nucleotides long. RefSeq lists it as uncharacterized. The transcript has 2 exons. The record is from RefSeq and is a predicted model, not a curated record. Lineage: Eukaryota; Metazoa; Chordata; Aves; Galliformes; Phasianidae.
AUGCGCGGAGCCGCCAUGGAGUCGGAGGGUCCCUCUGAGCCGGGUUUCGUGGGCAUCCGCUUCUGCCAGGAGUGUAACAACAUGCUGUACCCCAAGGAGGACAAGGAGAGCCGCGUGCUGCUUUAUGCGGUGAGACCCCACGGCUCGGGCACCUCCCACGGGCCCAGCACAGCCCCGAGCCGCGUCCCUCAGAGCUGGGCCCGGGCCGUGAUCCUGUGAUCUGCUGUGCAUCUCCAACAUAGAUCUGCAACCUGAAGAGCUUUGGAAUGUUACGGUGUGCCUUUGAAUUCCUCAGUUCUGGGUCAGCGUUCAGCUGCGGUUCAGACACCAAUGUUGCAGAUUCUGUCAUGCAGACACAUUAGUGGAGGAAAAGCAUCCAUGUCCUCACUCUUUGGGCUCUGUUAAAUGCUGUGUUUGGGGCAGAGGAUCCGCUGAUUCAUGUCAGGACAGCACAUUUUUAGGGCGUUUGAGGCUCUCCCUCGUGUGCUGUAGCAUACUGUAGGCUGUCCUGCGCAAGGUUACAGCUCUGCUAUCUGGCAUUUAAACAUAAAGAUGUUUAAAUGGUAAUAAGAUGGAAAUGCUGCUGGAUAGCUGUAUGUGGGCAGCUGCAUAGCCACUUCUGUAUAGCUGGAAAGAAAGGGAGUGCUGAGAUCUUCUACAGGUAUGUGAAAAUUGAGAGUUCUGCACCUUGAACCUGGAUUCCUGUGUUCUGAUUAGCAUCCAGAGUCAAGUAGGGGAACAUCUGAGUUCACAUAUCCUCAGAGGUGCAAGCACAGGGCAGUUGAGACCAAGACUGAUGGGUACACCAGUUAUCCUCUGUGCUGUAUUCCACUCCCUUUGUCUCUCAACACCUGUGUUAUUUAUUUAUUUAUGUAUUUAUUUGGUUUGAUGGGCACUACAGAUCUUGCUUGAUCUGUGCAGAUUUGCAGGUCUGUGCUUUAAAAACAGUUCUCAGUUGUGGUGGAGCAAGUAGAAAUACAUAAAAUCAUAUCCACUGAGCAGUGCUCAUCAUUCAGGUGAAUUCGGAGUAACCAUGCUGAGGAGCAUUUUAUUGUGAGUGAAUUGAAUCUGAGUUCACACUGAAAUUCUGGUUACUUGUUGACACAGUGCAGUAGGACUCCUUCAGAGUCCACACCAGAAUGUGCUGAUCCUUACUGCACCCUCAGUUUGCAUGAACGAGAGCUCAGGCAAGGGACUUGCAAAGAUCUCCAUGAAAAGGAGUAGGUUUUUUUUUCAGAGAAGUACAUGCUCACAUUUUACUGUUUUUCCUUUCACAGAAUCACAGAAUGGCCUAGGUUGGAAGGGACCUCAAGGAUCAUGAAUCUCCAACCCCCCUGCUGGGCAGGGCCACCAACCUCCCCAUUUACUAGACCAGGUUGCCCAGGGCCCCAUCCAACCUGGCCUUGAACACCUCUAGGGAUGGGACAUCCACAACCUCUCUGGGCAGCCCGUUCCAGCACCUCACCACUCUCCUUGUAAAGAACUUCCCCUAACAUCCAAUCUAAAUCUUCCCUCUUUCAACUUAAAACUGUUCCCCCUUGUCCUGCUGUUAUCUACCCUUUCAAAGAGUUUACUCCCUUCCUGUUUAUAGGCUCCAUUCAGGUACUGAAAGGCUGCAAUGAGGUCACCGCGCAGCCUUCUCUUCUCCAGGCUGAAUAAGCCCAGCUCCCUCAGCCUGUCUUUCAUGAGUAGGUCAUGGUGUCCAGAGAAAAUGGGUCCAACAGUAGCUCCAUCACCAAGUCCUCCCUCCUGACACUUGCAGAAUCACAAGAGCUGCAGCUCCUGCACUUCCAGCUCUUCCUGGGCAUCUACCUGGCUGCCCUCCUGGGCUACAGCCUCCUUAUCACAGCCGUAGCCUGUGGACACUGCCUGCACCCCCCCCAUCGACUUCUCCUUGGCCUGGGCUGCAUCUCCUCCACUUCCCCCAAAGCCAUGGCCAAUGCUUUCUGAGGCACCAGGAACAUCUUUGAUGCUUCUGAUGCAGGGUGUGUUGCCUAGCUGUUUUUCAUUUUCUUGCUUACAGCAGAGUACUCCCUUCUCACUAUCAUGUCAUGAAUGCUGUGGCCAUCUGCAAGCCUCCACACUUGCAGCCAUACAAUAUAAACACACAGCCAUAUCAAUAUAAUGCCUCCUAUUCAGAAGUAAAUACACUCAGUAGCUGAACUAUAUUUGAAAAAUUGUGAUUAUGUUGUCUUGCAUAUGUUAUAUCUAAGGCUGUGAAAGUUUGUUACAGCUCUAGAAAGUGUAGAAACAUGACAGUAUGUAGCUUUGGGACAAGCUGGCACAAGCUGUGCUGCCCAGCAGGGUCUCAUAGUGCAGGGGCUUGCAGAUGGCAACCUAGUGGUCAUAGGACAUCACAGUGAGAAGGGAAUGUUCUGCUGACAUCAGAAAGACAAACAGAAAGCACCGUGCAGCAUAUCCAGCAUAGGAGAUGUCCCUGGUGUCCCAGAGGGCAUUGGCCAUGGCUUUGGGGAGGGUGGUGGAAGUGCAGCCCAGGUCGAGGAGGACAAGGUUGAGGAGGAAGAAGUCCAUGGGGGUGUGCAGGCGGUGGUCGCAGGCUAUGGCUGUGCUGAUGAGGCCGUUGCCCAGGAGGGCAGCCAGGUAGAUGCCCAGGAAGAGCCAGAAGUGCAGGAGCUGCAGCUGCCGUGUGUCUGUGAAUGCCAGGAGGAGGAACUCACUGAUGGAGCUGCUGUUUGACAUCUGCUGCUCUUGACACAGGGACCUGUCCAAGGAGGAUGACAAGAAGAUAUGUUAGAAAAGCCUGCAGAGGAGUCAGUCCCGCUCUAUACCUUUGGGCACAUGGAAGUUUCCACCAGUCUCUUCUGUAUCUGAAAGGGAAUGAUUUCUGUGGUUGUGUCGCUUAAUUUUGAUAGAAUAGACCCUGUCUUCAAAUGACUGUGAAAUACUCACGAUUUUUUCCAGUUCCUGCAUGAGUUGGACUAGACGACCUUUGGGAGUCCCUUCCAAUUCUAAGGAUUCUGUGAUCCUAUGAUUCUAUCUACGAGAAAAGUAAUCUACAGCCUUAGUAUGCAUGCUUCCUCUGAUGAAAGUAAGCUUCUCACCUUGCGCUCCAGGACACAAGAAGUCAUCUCGGUGUCUACUUAAGUGUCUUUCCCAAAUUUAGAUUGCCUCCAGUAUUUUGGGAAUUGAUGAAGAGAUAAAAAGAUUUCCCUUUUUCUUCCCUUGAAAUACAAUCCAGUAAUGAGAGAGAAAAUUUUCCUCACUGUCGUUUAGGAAACAAUCAGUUCAGGCUGUCCACCAGGCUUGUUACUAACUGCUCAGUGCUUGCCCCUCGCUCAGUUGGAGUAUGGCUGCACACACAAGUUGCUCUGACAAGAAGCCCAGACUGUCCAACUCCUGUCUCCCUCAGUCUCAGCCCAGUUCCGGGGAGAAUGAGGAAAGGAACGUGGUGAGGCUUCUGAACGACGUGGUGGGAGUUGAGGGAGGUUAACAUCUCCCAUUAGCACUGCUGUUGCCAGAGACUGCUGGAGAGAGAACAGGAGCAGUGCAUAGAAAUAGGGAAGAACUAAAGAUGCAGCGAUUCCUGAGGAAAGCGAAGAAGCAAGAGACAGCUGUGCGCUCCAGAAAGCCUUGUCCUCACCCAACAGCUCACACACCUUCCAGACUGCACAGUCACAGGCUGUGACCCUCAGCCUCUUUUAUCUGCAGAGCAAAAGGGGCCCACGUCAGGAGAGAUGCACCUUUGCUGUGCGGAGCUGUGGUUGCAGAGGAGCAGCUCACGGCCUGGAGCCAUGGCCUUGGAGGCAGAGGCAGUGCUGAGUGGGAGGCCAGAACAAGGGGCUUGCUCACAGGAAGGCAUCUGCAGUGCAGGGACAGAUAGCAUCCCAAACCCACCCUGCAGAGCCUUUCUCUCCCAAGUUCCCUCUGCCUCUGUCCCUGGAUCUGCAACCUGGAUCUGUCCCUUGCAGCACCUGCUGCCCACAUCUCCUUCUUAUCAUCACUCACAGAACCCAGCCCAGCCCCUGCACACUCAGCUGUGCCCUGCAGACCCCUCCUGGUAGCAGGACAGUGUUCAGGAGCAUCUCCCUGUUUGCAGGUACCAAAUAGCACAUCAGACAAACCCUGAUGCGGUCAGCAGAGGGAUUCUGGUGCUGUCUGUAGUCAGAGGAGUGGGUGCGGGGAGUUUAUGAUGUGUCUGGAAGCUCUGAUUUUGGCCCAGUAUAAUAAUUAAGAGUGUCAAUGACGUACUCAAAAUCACUGUCCAUUUCCAUUAGGAUAAAAUUAAGGCACAGACACCACAAAGUUCUUACCUUAAAGAUUAACCCUGCCUUCAUGAUAUACAUGGAGAUAUACAUCUCCGAGCCCAGAGAGUGGUAGUGAACGGAGUUAAAUCCAGCUGGCAACCGGUCACGAGUGGUGUUCCCAGGGGUUGGUGCUGGGGCCUGUCCUCUUUAAUAUCUUUAUUGAUGACCGGGAUGAGGGUAUUGAGUGCACCCUCAGUAAGGGUGGACUCAGUAAGGUAAGAGAGGAGACGUGACCUGCUGGAUCUCAUACACAUCAGCAAGGAGGGACUUGUUGGGGAUGUGAACAUAAAAGGACCAUGGGCUGUAGAGACUGCGAGGUGGUGGAGCUGAGGCUUCUAAAGGGAGGGCAGAAGACAAGCUCACAGCCCUGGGCUUCAAGAGAGCAGAACAUGGCUUCUUCAAGAGUCUGUGGGGUAUGGUCCCACAUUGUAAGGCUCUGGGGACAAUAGGGAUUCAAGAAGUUGUUUAAUAUCCAUGGGUCACCUCGUGCAAGCAAAAGAGAUUCACCCCAAAGAGGAGGAAAUCAGGCAAAAAUGCCACAAGUCCUGCAUGAAUGGGAAAAGUUCUACAUGGACAAAUCCAAACAUAAAACAGAAGCCCAAAGAAACCGGAAAGAAGAGGAGGAAACCUGGCAACAACACAGAGACCUUAUCAGCAUAUACUUGCCUGGACAAAUUCAGGAAAGCUAGAGCUCAAAAGCUAUUCACUGUUCCCAGACGUGUCAAAGACAGUAAAAGCUUCUAGAAAAAUACAGGUGACAGAAGGAAAGAUAGGGAGACUGUGGGUCCACAGCUGAAUGGAGCAGGGUACCUGGUGGGAAAAAAACAUGGAAAGUGUUGUGAUACUCAGUUCCUUCCUGACCUCACUCCUUUUUAGCCAGUCUGGUCUACAUGGAAUUCUGAGGGCCAGAGGCUGGUGGAAAAUUUUAGCACAAGGCAGAUGUACCUGUGGUGAAAGAGGAAGUGAUCAGGGUCAAGCAAACAGAACAUACAGGAGCUCGAGUUGGAAAGGAAUCAUGAGGGUGAUAGAAUCAUACCACACCUUGGAUUGGAAGGAACCUUAAUGCCCAUCAAGCUCCAACAUUCUUGUUAUUCUCAGGGCACCAUGCAACCUUAUCUUGAACAUGGGGCAUCCACAAAUCCUCUGGGCAAAUCCUGUGGUGCAUGUGAUCAUCAAAAAAUUAUUUAAACAAAUAAGAAACUUAUCAUAUCCCAGUGAGAAACAUUCAGCGCAAAGACUGUGGGAUAUCAUGGAUAAUCUAGGCAGGGAGAAUCUGGGGGGGAAAGGGGCAGGGGGCAACCAGACAGUAUAGAAGUCAAAAUAGAUCUUUGUUUUGAAGCUGUAGGGAUAAAAGUUGUUAUUUAAUGUCAGUACCGCUGGGAUCAAGAAUUGAAGAGAAAGAUCCAAAUCAAAGAAAAUGUGCCAACACACCUUUCAGAUUCUAAAGUGCUCGGCCACACCUCUGUAUUUGAUCUCCCUCACACUGUAGGUGUUGUCAGCUCUCCCAAAUAAAUGGCCAUGGCUAAGGGUGUGUUUCCUGCAGGCAAUCUGGACGUGUGGCCUUCCCACUGCUCUUCAGAUUUCCCCCUCCCUUUGCCCUUUGUUCUUUCUGAUCCCUCCAGCUAUGUGUUUAAUCUAGGAGCUUCAAGAAGUCAGAAACUUGUGCCAUCUCAAAAGUCUAAUGAACUCUUUAGACAACUUCUUAACUGUAUUUAUAUGUACCCCUUCCUUUCUCUGUCAAAAAUACUUCUUGUGCAAAAAUUCCCCAUGGAAGGCAGGCAGCUUGAACAUGGCAUCCGGCUGAGGACAGUGUUUUACUAUUCAUUCCAUUGCAUCACGUGUAUUCCUGUUUGUUGGCAACAAGGAGAAAUCCCUCUGUGCCCAUGUGCAGCUGGUUGUCUGAGGAAAGCAAGUGGGAGUUGAUGCAAAGGAAAAGCAACACCGAACUGAUGACUUCAAAGGAGAAGGCUGAUGUGAGGAAAAGGGAUGAAAAUCCCACGGGGCCAAUGUGAGUAGGGAUGGGCUUGGGGAGGCUGAGGAGAAAGUUUGUCCACACUGUGAAAGAGCAAACCUCAUUAGGAGACACCUGGGAUGAAUACUGUCUGCAAAGUGCUGCCUUAAUUUUCUCUUAGUACUGGAGAAAAAAAGAUGAAGAAAUAAAUAGACUCAUUAAAUGUA